RNAcentral lists this ribosomal RNA (497 nucleotides) under uncultured bacterium. RNAcentral describes it as "partial 16S ribosomal RNA". It matches the Rfam family "Bacterial small subunit ribosomal RNA", at positions 28 to 507 of the family's 1533-position model. The record is from RNAcentral.
GAUGAACGCUGGCGGCGUGCCUAAUACAUGCAAGUCGAGCGAACGGACGAGAAGCUUGCUUCUCUGAUGUUAGCGGCGGACGGGUGAGUAACACGUGGAUAACCUCCCUAUAAGACUGGGAUAACUUCGGGAAACCGGAGCUAAUACCGGAUAAUAUUUUGAACCGCAUGGUUCAAAAGUGAAAGACGGUCUUGCUGUCACUUAUAGAUGGAUCCGCGCUGCAUUAGCUAGUUGGUAAGGUAACGGCUUACCAAGGCAACGAUGCAUAGCCGACCUGAGAGGGUGAUCGGCCACACGGGAACGGAGACACGGUCCAGGCGCCUGCGGGAGGCAGCAGAAGGGAAUCUUCCGCAAUAGGCGAAAGCCUGACGGAGCAACGCCGCGUGAGUGAUGAAGGUCUUCGGAUCGUAAAACUCUGUUAUUAGGGAAGAACAUAUGUGUAAGUAACUGUGCACAGCUUGACGGUACCUAAUCAGAAAGCCACGGCUAACUACGUG